UACGGGAGGCAGCAGUGGGGAAUCUUCCGCAAUGGGCGAAAGCCUGACGGAGCAACGCCGCGUGAGUGAAGAAGGCCUUCGGGUCGUAAAGCUCUGUCUUAAGGGAAGAACAUCUGUAGUGAGAACAUUGCUAUGGACUGACGGUACCUUAGGAGGAAGCUCCGGCUAACUACGUGCCAGCAGCCGCGGUAAU
This 193-nucleotide ribosomal RNA is filed under the name uncultured rumen bacterium. Its description in RNAcentral is "partial 16S ribosomal RNA". It matches the Rfam family "Bacterial small subunit ribosomal RNA", at positions 340 to 524 of the family's 1533-position model. The record is from RNAcentral.